Molecule: ribosomal RNA, 506 nt
Filed under: uncultured bacterium
Lineage: Bacteria
Description: partial 16S ribosomal RNA
Rfam family: Bacterial small subunit ribosomal RNA
Source: RNAcentral
GAUGAACGCUAGCGGCAGGCCUAACACAUGCAAGUCGAGGGGUAGCUAGAGUGAUAGCAAUAUUACUUUGGCUAGACCGGCGCACGGGUGCGUAACACGUAUGCAACCUACCUUAUACUGGGGAAUAACUUCGAGAAAUCGGCGCUAAUACCCCAUAACACUGCGGAGAGGCAUCUCUUUGCAGUUAAAGCUCCGGCGGUAUAAGAUGGGCAUGCUUCCAAUUAGCUAGUUGGUGAGGUAACGGCUCACCAAGGCUACGAUUGGUAGGGGUUCUGAGAGGAUGAUCCCCCACACUGGUACUGAGACACGGACCAGACUCCUACGGGAGGCAGCAGUGAGGAAUAUUGCGCAAUGGACGAAAGUCUGACGCAGCCAUGCCGCGUGCAGGAUGACGGCCCUAUGGGUUGUAAACUGCUUUUGUACGGGAAUAAACCCUUCUACGUGUAGGAGGCUGAAGGUACCGUAAGAAUAAGCACCGGCUAACUCCGUGCCAGCAGCCGCCGUAA